This 1883-nucleotide long non-coding RNA is filed under the name Rattus norvegicus (Norway rat). RNAcentral's name for it is "long non-coding RNA NONRATT014889". The record is from RNAcentral. Lineage: Eukaryota; Metazoa; Chordata; Mammalia; Rodentia; Muridae.
CAGUGGGUAGGGAAAGGGUCAUAUAAAAAUACGAAGAAAUAGCCAUAUUAAAUUUCUACCUGCCAUUUGCCUCAGCAAACAAAGCGAGCGUACGUUUCUAAGGCUAAAGAUAGAGCGAGCUCGUGUGCCAGCAGAAGCCUCCUCUAUUUAUAGCAGUUCUGACAAUAGUUUUUUUUUUUUUUUUUUUUUUACAAACUCAAGAAGAACAGAUUCACUUGAAAAGUGGAUGCCAGUCACCUGGUUCCCACCGCUGCCUUCAAAGCAGCAGCAGAUAGCAAAGGGAUACUCUAAGAUCUGUAAAGGUGAUUUAACGAGAAGCACAAUUUUUAUUGUGACCAGUCAUGUUCCAGAAACAGUCACUGUCUACCUUUGCCCUUGCCUUUUCUGUAACUUGGCCACCUACUGUAUUUGCAAAUCUAGUGUAGAUUUUGAUCACACGAACUUCUUUGGAUCCAGAAGUCUGGGGCAGAGCGCUGGGGGAUUAUAAUUUUGCAUUACCUGGCCGAGAGUAGCAUUUUAGCCAACAGUCAUCAUUGCAAGUAGGAGGGAGCGUAGGUGGCAUUUUACAUGGCUGCAAGUGUUGUCAUACCGGAUCCUACUUUAAAACAGUUUCGGUAGCAGUAAGCUGAGAAAUACUGGUGACGGUGUUGCAGCCUGUGCAAGCCACACAGCCCGUGUGGUGUACACAUCGCGCGCAAGCAAGCCAUUCAGUCUGUGGAUUGUGCACAUUGGCAUGUGGAGGCUGUUGAAUUCAACCUUUUUUAAAAUUGUGGUUUUUAGUAAAAAACGCUUAUUUUUUCCCGAAGGUGGAAUUUAAUGUUUUGUAAUGAUGAAUAUGAAAAUGCCUGUCAUCUUUAGAUCAUUUAAAGGUUAACUAAUGUGAGAAUUUCAAAACAAAUUUCAAUACACUUUUGAAAAGCAUGUCUGCCCUCUCACACUUCUAUGUAUUUGAUUUUGGAUACACUCACCCUUUUUGAGAUAGCAUUUUGCUCCCUUAAUCCCCCUUGUUUUGAUUUUUGAUUUUUGUUUUGUUUUGGGUUUCUUUUUUUUCCCCCUUCAGAGAGUAAAAGCUUUGUAUUUCUUUCUUUAAAAAAAUUGUUUAAAAGAAGCCACUUGAACCUCCAGUAAAGGCUGUUGCCUAAGCAGGGCAUACUUCGUCUGUUCUUGUCUGUGCCAUCUGCUAUGGUGUCGUCAGUUACAUGGCGUUAAUUUCCUGCCACUACAGAUCUUUUGAAGAUUGCUUAAAUGCUGGUGUCUGUUAGAAUCCUUCAGACUUACAGAUGUAAUUAAAGGCUUUUCUUACUAUGUUUUAACCAAAGAUGUGGAGCAAUCCAAGCCACAUUAUCUUCUGCAUUAAAUUUGUCCAUCUUGGUUAUUCAUAAUCGGGUAUUGCAUUUUGCCUUCCCUGUUCAUACCUCAAAUUGAUUGAUACCUCAAUUUAAUUCAGAGAGGUUGGCUAAGCGGUGGAUUCUGGCUGUGGUUUGAAUGCGUCAGUAUUAGAGUAUGCAGACAAGGGUCACCGUAGGCAUAGAGCUUGGAUUGCUUCAGAUGGUUUGCCGUACCGUUUUUUCUUCUUUUUCCUUUUCUGGGGACUUGUUUCCAUUCAAUGACAAUAAUUAAAAUAGCUUGUAAAUGAGGGCAUACAAGCAUUUGCAACAAGUAUUCCAAUAGAGGCUCACAGCGGCAUAAGCUGGACUUUGUCGCCACUGGAUGACAAGAUGGCAUACCUAAGCUAACCGCACGCGUGUAUCUCAAGGGACUUAAAUUCAGCUGUCUGUAGUGAAUUCAAGUGGGAAAUGUUCAAAAGUUUCUCCUGCUGGAAAUAAGGUAUAAUUUGUAUUUUGCAGACAAUUCAGUAAAGUUACUGGCUUUCUUAGUGAUAC